This is a long non-coding RNA of Mesocricetus auratus (golden hamster), 1155 nucleotides long. RefSeq lists it as uncharacterized. The record is from RefSeq and is a predicted model, not a curated record. NCBI's taxonomy places the organism in Eukaryota, Metazoa, Chordata, Mammalia, Rodentia, Cricetidae. The transcript has 2 exons.
UCAGCUUUCCUUAGGGUUUGUGUAUUCAGUGUGGCCCAGGACAACCCUGCUUUGCCCGGUGUGGCCAGAGAAGCUGGAACCCCGGUGCUGAGAACUAGGGAUUUCCUCUGAAGCGGGGCGGGAAGCCAGUGCUUUGGGAAUGGCGUCAUCGCGUUUCCCUCGGUCCCCGUGCCAAGAACGAGGCGGUAGCCCGGAGAACUGAGGAGGAAGCCGUGGGUGGCAGGACCCAGUGAGGUGUCACAGAUCCCUGAGCAAGGGCUGGAGAGAUGACUUGGCGGUUAAGCGCACUGGCUGUUCUUCCAGAGGACCUGAGUUCAAUUCCCAGCAACCACAUGGUGGCUCCCAACCCUCUGUUUUAGGCUUGUUUCUAACUAGCUCUUAUAACUCAGCCCAUUAAUAUUAAUUUACUCCCUGCCCCAUGGCUUUGUUACGUCAUCUCUGUACCGCCCAUGCUGCUUCCUCUGCAUCUCCUGGCAUCCCUGCCUCCUUCUUCCCAGCAUCCUCUCUGCCCUGGAAAUCCUGCCUAGAUAUUGGCAGUUCAGCCUAAGCUAUCAGCUGAGCUUUCAUAAUUAGUAACAAGUAUCUGUGUUGUGCUUUUGUUUUUGUUUUUGUGAGGUGGUGAUCCGAAGAAAAAUCUGUCUAUACUCCAGAUUUAGGAGCUAGAGGCAGGAGAAUCAGAAAUUCAAGGUCAGCCACAACUGAAUAGUAAGUUUAGGGCCAGUCUGAAGGAAUCAAGACCCUAUCUUUAAAAAACAAAAACAAAAACAAAAAACAGGGAGUUGGGGUUCUUGAAAGAUGACUCUGUGGUUAAAAGCACUGCUGCUCUUACAGAGGACCUGGGCUCAGUUCUCAGCACCCAGACGCUGGUUCUCAAUAUCUAUAACUCCAGUCCCAGGGGUCCAGCCUGCUUUGUGACACGCAUACACGAAUGCCAGCAAAACACUUAUGCACAGAACACAAAAUAAACAAAUAUAGAAUAGCACAUUAUCAUCGAUAAUAACUUCACUGUACAAUAAAACAUCAGAACUUGGGUCAUUUUACUUUAACAUUAUUUUUGCGGCGUCUGGGAAUGAAUCCUAAGGCCGUUUGCACACUACGUAGGCAUUUUACUUCUGAGUGCAUUCCUCAACCCAUUAAAUAAUAUCUUCACAUUUA